AGCCUACUAGCUCAAUUGGAAGAGCAUUUUGCAAAAGCACAAAAGAUGUGGGUUCGAAUCCCACGUAGGUUG
This is a non-coding RNA of Spinacia oleracea (spinach), 72 nucleotides long. The record is from Rfam. NCBI's taxonomy places the organism in Eukaryota, Viridiplantae, Streptophyta, Magnoliopsida, Caryophyllales, Amaranthaceae.